GACGAACGCUGGCGGCGUGCCUAAUACAUGCAAGUCGAACGCUUCUUUCCUCCCGUUUGCUUGUACUCAAUUGGUAAUAGUAGUGGCUGACGUGUUAGUAACACUUGCGUAACCUACCCAUCACAGGGGGAUAUCACUUGGAUACAGGUGCUAAUUCCGCAUAACAUUUUAUGCCUCAUGGCUUAUGCGUUAAUGGCGCUUUCUGGUGUCGUUGAUGGAUGUACCCGCGGUGCAUUAGCUAGCCGGUUAGGUAACGGCUCACCAAGGCAAGGAUGCAUAGACGAACGGAGAGGGGGAUCGGCGAAACUGGAAGGGAGACACGGCGCAGACGCCUACGGGAGGCAGCAGUAGGGAAUCGUCGGCAAAGGACGAAAGUAUGAAGGAGCAACGAAGCGGGAGUGAAGAAGGUUUACGGAUCGUAAAACUAUGUUGUUAGAGAAGAAAAAAGAGGUUAGUAACAGAAAGUCGGCUGACGGUAGCUAACAAAAAAGACACGGCUAACUACGUG
RNAcentral lists this ribosomal RNA (508 nucleotides) under uncultured bacterium. RNAcentral describes it as "partial 16S ribosomal RNA". It matches the Rfam family "Bacterial small subunit ribosomal RNA", at positions 28 to 507 of the family's 1533-position model. The record is from RNAcentral.